RNAcentral lists this ribosomal RNA (681 nucleotides) under uncultured bacterium. RNAcentral describes it as "bacterial SSU rRNA". It matches the Rfam family "Bacterial small subunit ribosomal RNA", at positions 139 to 807 of the family's 1533-position model. The record is from RNAcentral.
GGGGAUAACACUUGGAAACAGGUGCUAAUACCGCAUAACCAUAGUUACCGCAUGGUAACUAUGUAAAAGGUGGCUAUACUACCGCUUUUGGAUGGGCCCGCGGCGCAUUAGCUAGUUGGUAGGGUAAAGGCUUACCAAGGCAAUGAUGCGUAGCCGAAUUGAGAGGUUGAUCGGCCACAUUGGGACUGAGACACGGCCCAAACUCCUACGGGAGGCAGCAGUAGGGAAUCUUCCACAAUGGGCGAAAGCCUGAUGGAGCAACGCCGCGUGGGUGAAGAAGGUCUUCGGAUCGUAAAACCCUGUUGUUAGAGAAGAAAGUGCGUGAGAGUAACUGUUCACGUUUCGACGGUAUCUAACCAGAAAGCCACGGCUAACUACGUGCCAGCAGCCGCGGUAAUACGUAGGUGGCAAGCGUUAUCCGGAUUUAUUGGGCGUAAAGGGAACGCAGGCGGUCUUUUAAGUCUGAUGUGAAAGCCUUCGGCUUAACCGGAGUAGUGCAUUGGAAACUGGGAGACUUGAGUGCAGAAGAGGAGAGUGGAACUCCAUGUGUAGCGGUGAAAUGCGUAGAUAUAUGGAAGAACACCAGUGGCGAAAGCGGCUCUCUGGUCUGUAACUGACGCUGAGGUUCGAAAGCGUGGGUAGCAAACAGGAUUAGAUACCCUGGUAGUCCACGCCGUAAAC